CCAUCUUUUCUGAAUCUCGGGGUCUUAUAAUGGAACUCACUCCUUUCACGAUCAGUGGUUCUCUUUGCAUAUACUUCAGUGCUUCACCCGGGUUCUCCUUCAAGGUGCCUAUUUCCAUCAUUGCUUGGCUUUUUAGCUUGUAGUAUCUAUCAUUAAAAAUCAUCCCCACGACGUGUGUGUUACUGUGAUUAGGAAGUGGAUUAUCGGUCACAUUCGGUGCUUCUUCUUUUUGUAUU
RNAcentral lists this long non-coding RNA (236 nucleotides) under Capsicum annuum. Its description in RNAcentral is "long non-coding RNA (CANN_LNC002375)". Lineage: Eukaryota; Viridiplantae; Streptophyta; Magnoliopsida; Solanales; Solanaceae. The record is from RNAcentral.